CCCCGGAACCAGGCGCCCGCCGGAGGGACCAACCAAACUCUUUCUGUAGUCCCCUCGCGGACGUUAUUUCUUACAGCUCUGAGCAAAAAUUCAAAAUGAAUCAAAACUUUCAACAACGGAUCUCUUGGUUCUGGCAUCGAUGAAGAACGCAGCGAAAUGCGAUAAGUAAUGUGAAUUGCAGAAUUCAGUGAAUCAUCGAAUCUUUGAACGCACAUUGCGCCCGCCAGUAUUCUGGCGGGCAUGCCUGUCCGAGCGUCAUUUCAACCCUCGAACCCCUCCGGGGGGUCGGCGUUGGGGAUCGGGAACCCCUAAGACGGGAUCCCGGCCCCGAAAUACAGUGGCGGUCUCGCCGCAGCCUCUCCUGCGCAGUAGUUUGCACAACUCGCACCGGGAGCGCGGCGCGUCCACGUCCGUAAAACACCCAACUUCUGAAAUGUUGACCUCGGAUCAGGUAGGAAUACCCGCUGAACUUAAGCAUAUCAAUAAGCGGAGGAA
RNAcentral lists this ribosomal RNA (495 nucleotides) under Trichoderma koningiopsis. Its description in RNAcentral is "eukaryotic LSU rRNA". The stretch from base 105 to 258 matches the Rfam family "5.8S ribosomal RNA". The record is from RNAcentral. Lineage: Eukaryota; Fungi; Ascomycota; Sordariomycetes; Hypocreales; Hypocreaceae.